Molecule: ribosomal RNA, 468 nt
Filed under: uncultured bacterium
Lineage: Bacteria
Description: partial 16S ribosomal RNA
Rfam family: Bacterial small subunit ribosomal RNA
Source: RNAcentral
GACGAACGCUGGCGGCGUGCUUAACACAUGCAAGUCGAACGGCAAGGCCCUGCUUUUGUGGGGUGCUCGAGUGGCGAACGGGUGAGUAACACGUGAGUAACCUGCCCUUGACUUUGGGAUAACUUCAGGAAACUGGGGCUAAUACCGGAUAGGAGCUCCUGCUGCAUGGUGGGGGUUGGAAAGUGUCGGCGGUUGGGGAUGGACUGGCGGCUUAUCAGCUUGUUGGUGGGGUAGUGGCUUACCAAGGCUUCGACGGGUAGCCGGCCUGAGCGGGUGACCGGCCACAUUGGGACUGAGAGACGGCGCAGACUCGUACGGGAGGCAGCAGUGGGGAAUAUUGCACAAUGGGCGGAAGCCUGAUGCAGCGACGCCGCGUGCGGGAUGACGGCCUUCGGGUUGUAAACCGCUUUCGCCUGUGACGAAGCGUGAGUGACGGUAAUGGGUAAAGAAGCACCGGCUAACUACGUG